UACGGGCAACUUCAAGGUUUCUGCUGCUCUCCUUCCUUAGGGUUCUUUAUCUUUAAACCUGACAUGAACCAGGCAACCCUUUCAAAUAUCUAUAUAUUUAUUUGUUGAAUUCGCAAAAUAAAUAAAUAGGUAUUUGAAGGCCGUCUGGUUUGAAGAUGAAGAACUCUAACAAGGGAGAGCAGCAAAGGUCUUGAAGUUGCCCUUC
RNAcentral lists this microRNA precursor (205 nucleotides) under Podarcis lilfordi (Lilford's wall lizard). Lineage: Eukaryota; Metazoa; Chordata; Lepidosauria; Squamata; Lacertidae. The record is from RNAcentral.